Pongo pygmaeus (Bornean orangutan) is the source of this 464-nucleotide long non-coding RNA. RefSeq lists it as uncharacterized. The transcript has 2 exons. Lineage: Eukaryota; Metazoa; Chordata; Mammalia; Primates; Hominidae. The record is from RefSeq and is a predicted model, not a curated record.
CCAUCAGCAAGCCGACCUCUCUGCCCGCCCACGUCCGGCUUCCUUUCGAUGUCGACGGGAGGAAAGGGUCACGCAGGCCACCAACCGGCGGUGGAGGGCGCGGUGCCGAGUCCUGCCACUGCAGGGUCGCCCCGCUGGCUCGAGCUCUAGAAGCGUAGACCUCCCCAACCGCAAAAAGCAAUUCAGCGGCGAAAUCGCGGACUCUUUUGACCCUUCCGAGGGUCUCGCUCUUCCGCCCAGUCUUGAGUGCAGUGGUGAGAACAGGGCUUACUGCAGCCUCAAAAUCCUGGACCCAAAAGAUCCUCCCACCUCAGCCUGCCUCCCAGGUAGCUGGGACUACAGGCGCACACCACCAUCGCUUCUUGGAUUAAAAGAAAAGGAUGAAACGGGCCCCAGAAAGAGGCGGUGACGUCCCAGAACCCAUGGCAGGGGAGUUGGGAAAAUAAAUAUUUGUAUUGUUUUAA